GCCUGGGUGGCUCAGUCAGUUGAGCGUCUGACUUCAGCUCAGGUCAUGAUCUUGCAGUUUGUGAGUUUGAGCCUCGCGUCGGGCU
This 85-nucleotide transfer RNA is filed under the name Felis catus (domestic cat). It matches the Rfam family "tRNA". Rfam says of the family: Transfer RNA (tRNA) molecules are approximately 80 nucleotides in length. Their secondary structure includes four short double-helical elements and three loops (D, anti-codon, and T loops). Further hydrogen bonds mediate the characteristic L-shaped molecular structure. tRNAs have two regions of fundamental functional importance: the anti-codon, which is responsible for specific mRNA codon recognition, and the 3' end, to which the tRNAs corresponding amino acid is attached (by aminoacyl-tRNA synthetases). tRNAs cope with the degeneracy of the genetic code in two manners: having more than one tRNA (with a specific anti-codon) for a particular amino acid; and 'wobble' base-pairing, i.e. permitting non-standard base-pairing at the 3rd anti-codon position. The record is from Rfam by way of RNAcentral. Lineage: Eukaryota; Metazoa; Chordata; Mammalia; Carnivora; Felidae. RNAcentral also lists the same sequence under 4 other names.